This is a long non-coding RNA of Selaginella moellendorffii, 417 nucleotides long. RefSeq lists it as uncharacterized. Lineage: Eukaryota; Viridiplantae; Streptophyta; Lycopodiopsida; Selaginellales; Selaginellaceae. The record is from RefSeq and is a predicted model, not a curated record. The transcript has 3 exons.
CAGAGAGUUAGGGUUUUAGGGCUCGUGGCAAUGCGGGACGCGAUCUGGGCUUCUCUCGGAGAUUCCUCCGCUUGAGCAGGAGGUUCCGCUAGAGCUCUGGAGGGAUUUGGGACGCUGUCUAGGCCACGAAGCGAGUGACGUAAUUUAGUCGAAGUCGUUGAUCUCUUUUUGGACCAAAGGAGAGACGCUAUCCAAUUUUAUUGGUGUUGUGGAUGUCUAUCUCGACUGUGAUGGAGAUUCGAUUAUUACUUGGGAAAGCCUGACCGGCCUACUUGUCACACAGGAGCUGGUUGACUUAAGUUAGUAUUAUUAACAAGAACUUGAGAUCAAUCAGUAAUUUUUCUCAUACGUGCUACAUUGAUAUCCUCCUGGUUUAUGUAAACUGACAAUAUCGUUCUUCUUCUUCCACUGAUAUAU